RNAcentral lists this small RNA (418 nucleotides) under Arabidopsis thaliana (thale cress). RNAcentral describes it as "ATSL102750". The record is from RNAcentral. Lineage: Eukaryota; Viridiplantae; Streptophyta; Magnoliopsida; Brassicales; Brassicaceae.
UAUUAAUUGCUAAUAAUACGAAGGGUGAAAUCGUCAAUACAACAGAGAAAGAAGUACCUAAUUGCAUAGACACAUGAUUUUGUGCCUAUAUCAACAAUGACAUGACUUUUAAGUGCUUUAUUCAUAAUUGAUCCAUAAAAAGAACCCAAGCAACAAAGUUUGUGAAUUUUGUGAAUGAAUGGUUCUAUUUUUUGGAUAAUGAAAAUUAGUAGAAGAUGAGUUUUGGAAGAAACAGAGACGCUGCUCUCACGUCGAGAUGUUGUUGGCUGUUGUCGCUUCUCUCUCGUCUUUGAGCACCGCAUAUCUGUGCUACAUUGCUCACGGAUGGUUCUCGAGAUGAUGGAGUAAGAGUAGAAGCGUCAUUUCAAAUAAGCAAAAGUGCUUGAUUUCGUAAACACUUAUAAAAAUAUUGGAUCUU